UUAGUCAGUGGGGGUAGACGCGAAACUUUGUGAUCUAUCCAUGGGCAGGGUGAAGGUUAGGUAAAACUAACUGGAGGCCCGAACUCAUUAGCGUUGAAAAGCUAUGGGAUGACCUGUGGAUAGGGGUGAAAGGCCAAUCAAACUGAGAGAUAGCUCGUUCUCCCCGAAAUGUUUUUAGGAACAGCCUUGGAUAUAGACGUGUUAUAGAGGUAGAGCUACUAAUUGGGCUAGGGGGCUUCACCGCCUACCAAACCCUAAUAAACUCCGAAUGCUAUAACAUAAUCUCCAGGAGUGAGGCUGUGGGCGCUAAGGUCCAUGGCCGAGAGGGAAAUAACCCAGACUAACAGCUAAGGUCCCUAAUGAUAUGUUAAGUUGAACAAACGCGGUUCAAAUCCUAAAACAGCCAGGAUGUUGGCUUGGAAGCAGCCAUUCAUUUAAAGAGUGCGUAACAGCUCACUGGUCGAGGGUUUGGGCACGGAAAAUAAUCGGGCAUCAAACAUAUAACCGAAGCUUUAGGCCUAGUAUGCAAAUACUAGACGGUAGGGGAGCAUUCUAAACUGCAUCGAAGGUGUGUUGCGAGACAUGCUGGAGCGUUUAGAAAAGAAAAUGUAGGCAUAAGUAACGAUAAAUAAGAUGAAAAAUCUUAUCGCCGUAAGACUAAGGGUUCCUGAUCAACGCUAAUCGGAUCAGGGUUAGUCGGGUCCUUAGGCAAAGCCGAGAGGUGAAGCUGAUGGCAAACUGGUGAAUAUUCCAGUACCUGCUAUAAAUUCGAUGGAGUAACGGAGUAGUGAAAGGAUCGCGCACUUACGGAAUAGUGCGUUAAAGGGUGUAGUUAUAUUCUUGGUAGGUAAAUCCGCCAGGGAUGAUGAACCUGAUAGUACAGCAAAGCUUCGGCCGCGCUGAUAGUAUCCCUAAUCAGACUUCCAAGAAAAACUUCUAAGGUUCGUUUAUAGCAGCCCGUACCGCAAACCGACACAGGUAGUCGAGAUGAGUAUUCUCAGGCGCUCGAGUGAUCCGUGGUAAAGGAACUAGGCAAAUUGACGCUGUAACUUCGGGAUAAGGCGUGCCACAGUGAUGUGGCCUCAGUAAAAUGGUACAACCAACUGUUUAACAAAAACACAGGGCCCUGCAAAAUCGAAAGAUGACGUAUAGAGCCUGAUACCUGCCCGGUGCUGGAAGGUUAAGGAAGGAUGUUCGGAGCAAUCCAAAGCUUCUGACUGAAGCCCCAGUAAACGGCGGCCGUAACUAUAACGGUCCUAAGGUAGCGAAAUUCCUUGUCGGGUAAGUUCCGACCUGCACGAAUGGUCUAAUGAGUUGUACACUGUCUCUACCACGAGCUCGGUGAAAUUGUAGUAUCGGUGAAGAUGCCGGUUAAUCGCAACGGGACGGAAAGACCCCGUGAACCUUCACUACAACUUAACAUUGAUUUUGAAUGCCAGAUGUGUAGGAUAGUUGGGAGACUAUGAAGCAGGUUCGCCAGGAUUUGUGGAGUCAUCGUUGAAAUACCAACCUUCUGUUAUUUAGAGUCUAAUCCGGCAACGGAGACAUUGUUUGGUGGGUAGUUUGACUGGGGUGGUCGCCUCCUAAAAGGUAACGGAGGCUCGCAAAGGUACCCUCAGUACGGUUGGUAAUCGUACGCAGAGCGCAUUAGUAUAAGGGUGCUUGACUGUGAGGCAAACAAGCCGAGCAGGUGCGAAAGCAGGCUAAAGUGAUCCGGUGGUUCUGUAUGGAAGGGCCAUCGCUCAAAGGAUAAAAGGUACUCCGGGGAUAACAGGCUGAUCUCACCCAAGAGCUCAUAUCGACGGUGAGGUUUGGCACCUCGAUGUCGGUUCGUCACAUCCUGGGGCUGGAGAAGGUCCCAAGGGUUCGGCUGUUCGCCGAUUAAAGUGGCACGUGAACUGGGUUCAGAACGUCGCAAGACAGUUCGGUCCCUAUCUGUUGUGAUCGUUAGUAAAUUGAGAGGACAUGACCUUAGUACGAGAGGACCGGGUCGUACGUACCGCUGGUGUAUCUGUUGUGCCGCCAGGUGCAGUGCAGAGUAGCUAUGUACGGAUAGGAUAAACGCUGAAAGCAUCUAAGCGUGAAACCUGCUUCAAGAUGAGUUUACUUUUAAGGGCCGUCGCAGACUACGACGUUGAUAGGUUACAGGUGUAAGGGUGGUAACAUCGCAGCCGAGUAAUACUAAUUGCCCGUAAGCUUUAAUUUU
RNAcentral lists this ribosomal RNA (2206 nucleotides) under Chitinophaga polysaccharea. RNAcentral describes it as "partial 23S ribosomal RNA". It matches the Rfam family "Bacterial large subunit ribosomal RNA", at positions 696 to 2925 of the family's 2925-position model. Lineage: Bacteria; Pseudomonadati; Bacteroidota; Chitinophagia; Chitinophagales; Chitinophagaceae. The record is from RNAcentral.